Molecule: ribosomal RNA, 446 nt
Filed under: uncultured bacterium
Lineage: Bacteria
Description: bacterial SSU rRNA
Rfam family: Bacterial small subunit ribosomal RNA
Source: RNAcentral
GAUCAUGGCUCAGAACGAACGCUGGCGGCAUGCCUAACACAUGCAAGUCGAACGAGACCUUCGGGUCUAGUGGCGCACGGGUGCGUAACGCGUGGGAACCUGCCUUUAGGUUCGGAAUAACUCAGAGAAAUUUGAGCUAAUACCGGAUAAUGUCUUCGGACCAAAGAUUUAUCGCCUUUAGAUGGGCCCGCGUUGGAUUAGCUAGUUGGUGGGGUAAAGGCCUACCAAGGCGACGAUCCAUAGCUGGUCUGAGAGGAUGAUCAGCCACACUGGGACUGAGACACGGCCCAGACUCCUACGGGAGGCAGCAGUGGGGAAUAUUGGACAAUGGGCGAAAGCCUGAUCCAGCAAUGCCGCGUGAGUGAUGAAGGCCUUAGGGUUGUAAAGCUCUUUUACCCGAGAUGAUAAUGACAGUAUCGGGAGAAUAAGCUCCGGCUAACUCCGUG